RNAcentral lists this transfer RNA (65 nucleotides) under Papio anubis (olive baboon). RNAcentral describes it as "tRNA-Lys". The record is from RNAcentral. Lineage: Eukaryota; Metazoa; Chordata; Mammalia; Primates; Cercopithecidae.
CACUGUACAGCUAUUCCAGCAUUAACCUUUUAAGUUGAAGAUUGAGGGCAUGCUCUCUGCAGUGA